ACCUCCUUCGGGAGGGGAUUAGUGGCGAACGGGUGAGUAACACGUGGGCAAUCUGCCCUGCACUCUGGGACAAGCCCUGGAAACGGGGUCUAAUACCGGAUACUGAUCAUCUUGGGCAUCCUUGGUGAUCGAAAGCUCCGGCGGUGCAGGAUGAGCCCGCGGCCUAUCAGCUUGUUGGUGAGGUAAUGGCUCACCAAGGCGACGACGGGUAGCCGGCCUGAGAGGGCGACCGGCCACACUGGGACUGAGACACGGCCCAGACUCCUACGGGAGGCAGCAGUGGGGA
RNAcentral lists this ribosomal RNA (286 nucleotides) under Streptomyces werraensis. RNAcentral's name for it is "partial 16S ribosomal RNA". It matches the Rfam family "Bacterial small subunit ribosomal RNA", at positions 73 to 360 of the family's 1533-position model. Lineage: Bacteria; Bacillati; Actinomycetota; Actinomycetes; Kitasatosporales; Streptomycetaceae. The record is from RNAcentral.